GCAGCCGCGGUAAUACGGAGGAUGCGAGCGUUAUCCGGAUUUAUUGGGUUUAAAGGGUGCGUAGGCGGACGGUUAAGUCAGCGGUAAAAUCGAGAGGCUCAACCUCUUCCGGCCGUUGAAACUGGCCAUCUUGAGUGAGCGAGAAGUAUGCGGAAUGCGUGGUGUAGCGGUGAAAUGCAUAGAUAUCACGCAGAACUCCGAUUGCGAAGGCAGCAUACCGGCGCUCAACUGACGCUGAAGCACGAAAGCGUGGGGAUCAAACAGGAUUAGAUACCCC
Molecule: ribosomal RNA, 277 nt
Filed under: uncultured bacterium
Lineage: Bacteria
Description: partial 16S ribosomal RNA
Rfam family: Bacterial small subunit ribosomal RNA
Source: RNAcentral